GGGGAUUUAGCUCAGCGGUAGAGCGCUUGCCUAGCAAGCACAAGGCCCUGGGUUCGAUCCCCAGCUCCG
Non-coding RNA from Rattus norvegicus (Norway rat), 69 nucleotides. The record is from Rfam. NCBI's taxonomy places the organism in Eukaryota, Metazoa, Chordata, Mammalia, Rodentia, Muridae.